AUUGAACGCUGGCGGCAGGCCUAACACAUGCAAGUCGGACGGUAGCACAGAGGAGCUUGCUCCUCGGGUGACGAGUGGCGGACGGGUGAGUAAUGUCUGGGGAUCUGCCCGAUAGAGGGGGAUAACCACUGGAAACGGUGGCUAAUACCGCAUAACGUCGCAAGACCAAAGAGGGGGACCUUCGGGCCUCUCACUAUCGGAUGAACCCAGAUGGGAUUAGCUAGUAGGCGGGGUAACGGCCCACCUAGGCGACGAUCCCUAGCUGGUCCGGGAGGAUGACCAGCCACACUGGAACUGAGACACGGUCCAGACUCCUACGGGAGGCAGCAGUGGGGAAUAUUGCACAAUGGGCGCAAGCCUGAUGCAGCCAUGCCGCGUGUAUGAAGAAGGCCUUCGGGUUGUAAAGUACUUUCAGCGGGGAGGAAGGCGAUGUGGUUAAUAACCGCGUCGAUUGACGUUACCCGCAGAAGAAGCACCGGCUAACUCCGUGCCAGCCGCCGCAGUAA
RNAcentral lists this ribosomal RNA (506 nucleotides) under uncultured bacterium. RNAcentral describes it as "partial 16S ribosomal RNA". It matches the Rfam family "Bacterial small subunit ribosomal RNA", at positions 29 to 523 of the family's 1533-position model. The record is from RNAcentral.